GGAUUGGGAGGGUUCUACGGAACCCGUUUGGUGAAUCUAGUGCCGAGAAAAGCCUUCUAUGUGUUGAAUUUCUAGUACCCGUACCCCAAACCGACACAGGUGGGUGGGUAGAGCAUACCUAGGGGCGCGUGAUAACUCUCUCUAAGGAACUCGGCAAAAUGGCCCUGUAACUUCGGGAUAAGGGGUGCCUGCGUGAGCAGGCCGCAGUGAAAUGGCUCUGGCGACUGUUUACCAAAAACACAGGUCUCUGCUAAGUCGUAAGACGAUGUAUAGGGGCUGACUCCUGCCCAGUGCCGGAAGGUUAAGGAAGUUGGUUAGCGCAAGCGAAGCUGGCGACCGAAGCCCCGGUGAACGGCGGCCGUAACGAUAACGGUCCUAAGGUAGCGAAAUUCCUUGUCGGGUAAGUUCCGACCCGCACGAAAGGAGUAACGAUCAGAGCGCUGUCUCGGAGAGAGACACGGCGAAAUAGGAUUGUCCGUGAAGAUACGGACUACCUGCACCCGGACAGAAAGACCCUAUGAAGCUUUACUGUAACUUGGAAUUGUGUUCGGACUUUGUCUGCGCAGAAUAGGUGGGAGGCUAUGAAACGUUCCUCGCGGGGAACUGGAGCCAUCGUUGAGAUACCACUCUGGCAGAGUCUGGAUUCUAACCUACGGGGACAGUUCCAGGUGGGCAGUUUGACUGGGGCGGUCGCCUCCUAAAAUGUAACGGAGGCGCGCAAAGGUUCCCUCAGGCUGGUUGGAAAUCAGCCAUAGAGUGUAAAAGCAUAAGGGAGCUUGACUGUGAGACCUACGAGUCGAGCAGGGACGAAAGUCGGCUUUAGUGAUCCGACGGCACUGAGUGGAAGGGCCGUCGUUCAACGGAUAAAAGUUACUCUAAGGAUAACAGGCUGAUCUCCCCCAAGAGUUCACAUCGACGGGGAGGUUUGGCACCUCGAUGUCGGCUCGUCGCAACCUGGGGCGGUAGUACGUCCCAAGGGUUGGGCUGUUCGCCCAUUAAAGCGGCACGUGAGCUGGGUUCAGAACGUCGUGAGACAGUUCGGUCCAUAUCCGGUGUAGGCGUAGGAGCAUUGAAAGGAUCUCUCCUUAGUACGAGAGGACCGGGAGGGACGUACCUCUGGUGUACCUGUUAUCGUGCCAACGGUAAACGCAGGGUAGCCAUGUACGGAGUGGAUAACCGCUGAAAGCAUCUAAGUGGGAAGCCCACCUUAAGAUGAGUGCUCCCUUGAGGCCACGGGAAGACGACCCGUUUGAUAGGCGCUAGGUGGAAGUGCAGUAAUGCAUGCAGCCGAGGCGUACUAAUAGGCCGAUGGC
This 1313-nucleotide ribosomal RNA is filed under the name metagenome. RNAcentral's name for it is "bacterial LSU rRNA". It matches the Rfam family "Bacterial large subunit ribosomal RNA", at positions 1563 to 2925 of the family's 2925-position model. The record is from RNAcentral.